This is a long non-coding RNA of Carassius gibelio (silver crucian carp), 6055 nucleotides long. RefSeq lists it as uncharacterized. The transcript is spliced from 2 exons. The record is from RefSeq and is a predicted model, not a curated record. NCBI's taxonomy places the organism in Eukaryota, Metazoa, Chordata, Actinopteri, Cypriniformes, Cyprinidae.
AUCAACUUGAGACCCCAAAAACAGUUAGACAGAGCCAGCAAACAAUGGGGUUACCGGGUUAUGUUAGAGACUUAAUCCCUGGCUUUAGCAGAUGUCUAAACUUAUUUAUGAGAUUAUCAAAGGUGGACAAUUGAAAUAGACAAUAAAACUGAAGAAUCGUUGAUAGAAAUUAAAACAGCUAUAUUAAACUCAGGACAGCUGAAAGGAAGAAAUGAUGAGAAAAAUUUAGAGGCUGACUUGGAAACAGACGAAACAGGUUACCAAUUAAUAGUAAGAGAAAAGAAAAGUAACAUACCUGGUAAAAUUAUGACUGGAAGCUGGGAGAUCCAAGAACUUAAAUUUACUGGUGUGAAGAAGCAGCUGGCAGCACUUAGAAAACGAUAUUUCCGAGUUGAAAGGCCUGGCAAGGGGCCAAAUAAUAUUUGUUAACAUGAAAACAGCAGUAUUAGCUCAUCUCUCCAAAACAAUGUAAAGGAUGACCGUGCGCUUAAUAGCUGAUGGCAGAGAUGGGAAAGUAUGCUUCUAGAUCCAGAUAUGAAAAUCAGACAAAAAGAACUUAAAAAAUGACAGAAAAAGAAAUUAGAGCUUUAUAAAAAUACAGUUGUUUUCACAGAUGGCUCAAAAACGGCCACUGACGAGGAAGCUCACUGGGCUUUUGAUUCUGAAACAGAGCAACAAGGUCAUAGCUUCAAAUGAGGGAGUAGUGCAAGGCACAGGACAGUACGCAGAGCUCAUGGCAGUGUUCCAGGCUUUGAAAACACUGAAAAACUUGGAUAUUUACAGGCCAUAAUAGUGACGGAUUGCUGUUGCAACAGGAAUUACUGACAAUUUGCAAAUCUGGAAUGACAACGGUUACACCAAGUCAAAAGAGAUCAAAAGUCAAAAGACCAGUCAGAAGACUCUUGCUGAGUAGGAGACCACGUCUGGAUCAGGUUAGAAAUUAAACAUAAAAAUAAACCGUUUAAAGAUUUAAUUAAUAAGAAUGAUACAAAAAAUUAAAAUAGUUGAUAAACAAUGUGGAAUUAACAGAUAAUGGCCUCAGUGGAGUAAGAGGAAUUUGGUCGUGGUUAAAAACCAAGGACGAGAAAAUUUAAUUCAAUCAGGAAAAUUAUCAAUGAGAUUAGGAUGAGCUUGUUAAAUUGGUUGAGAUUAAUAACCAGAGAGGUGUGAUUAGAAUUGAAACUAAUCUAAGGACGAGAUGCGAUGAUAAUUAUAUAGCGAAGGAUAUUGAGCAUGUAAAAGCCAGACAGACAGGUAGAUUGCUUAAACCUGUUAAACUGACAUGUUAUAUAGCAUAGGUGUAUGUGUGCUAUUUGUGGUAGUUUUGAAGAAUAACUGUGGUGGGAAGCACUAGCGAUAAGCAACCCCAAAUCCAGGGAGGAAUUAAAAAGCAAUAUUAAUAAUAAAAAAAAUACAAAAAAGAUUAGUAAACCUCUAACUAUGCCAAAAAUACAGAGAGAUCAAGAUUACAAAACUCCUGGAGAAAUUAAAGCAGCUUUGUGUGUUCACUGCCAAAAAUGAAAAAUUAGUUUCCCUAAAGUUGAAGUAAUAAUGACACAGCGGCUUGGAGUAAAAUAAACAGUUUGUGAUUGUUUGUGGACAGGGAAUAUGUGACUGAAUGCGAUGUAUGUCUCGAUGACAUUAAAUACCAUAAAUUGCUGGUACAUGGCAGACAUAAAGUUUGGUCUUGUAACAAGACCUUUGUUGAUUUCUCUAGUAAAGGCAAAAUUGAAGGUUCAAGAUUGCAAGUUGAUAACAUGACUUAUCAACAACAGCUGGGAUCAGGCGUCGAUUAUCUAUGGUCAUACCGUAUUAAGAGAAAUAUGGAUGACAUUCAAAGUAAAUGGCUCCCGUUGACCCCAAAGGUCUGGGAACGGAGCUGGAGUGCUUGAAAACUUGCUUUGACGUGAAGGUCAAAGCAUGCCGGCCAGAUAAGGGAACUGGAAUUAUCUGGUCUGUAGGCACCGUUGCCAAAACACUAUUAUAAAGUAAUAUAGGUGAGUGAAUAAUGGCACCUAGAAUUGAUUUUUUGAGACGAGGAGAAUCUGAUGACUCAAAUAGCAAUGUGCGUUGCCAUUUUAACUAAUUUCAACUAAUAAUGCAAAGAAGCAGAGUUCUGUGUCCUAUUGCAUUAUGGAGACAGAACAGCCAGCAAGCUGCUGUAUUAUCUCCGGGCAAGAAGCCAAUUAUGGAGGGGUUACAGCAGUCUUGUCUGAAUUAAACUAAUGUUAAAAGUUGUUUUAAACAUGACCACCACUUCUGAACCACAAAUUCUAGCAUGUGCAGUUGACAUUGAAUUGGCACACGAUUAAGUAGUGAGUAAAUUGACAAAAGGUUCGGAAGGGGGGUGGUUUGAAUUAUUGUGUUAUUAUUUUUAUUUUUCUCUCAGGAAUGAUGAAAUUACAAGACUUAGACGAGAGAGAGAAAUGGGCCAGGAAAAUACAACGCUGGCGACAAGCCUGUAUACCACAACCUUGUUUGACGGUAUUAUUAGUAUAACAGGGGUUGUGAUUUUAACUGGAAUUUGGCCAAUAAUUGAUUUCACUACAAAAUUGAUUGUGGUUGAGGAGAUUACUGUUAAAGAAGUUUCCCACUUUACUAUAGUGUAAAUUUUUUUUUUUCAGGAUCAUGUGAGCUAAAAACAUUGGAAGAAUGUAGCCAAUGUGAGAAAAAAAAAAAAAAAAAUAUAUAUAUAUAUAUAUAUAUAUAUAUAUACAGUGGGGAAAGAUACAUUAGUGAAAUGUAGAAUAAGGUCAAUCCCAUGUAACAUUACACGGAUAAAGAGAAUUUGGAUUUGGCACCGCCUGCAGCAUAUACUCUAUAUUGGACCUAGAGAGACAUUAGGGUGUUACACGAGCAACACUGAGGACAGUGUUAAGCCAAAUAAAGAAACCCAGAUUACUGCAACUAAAUAAAAAGAUAGAGGUUCCCAAUGUGUAAAAUAUGGGUUGUAUGAUCCUAAAAGUGCAUUCCAAAGAAACUGUGAAAAAUAUUAUAAUGACAAUAAAUAUACAAUGUGUGAAACUACAAAAAAUUAUGGGAUCCAUUUGCAUGGAUAUAUUGGUUUAUAUAUUGACAUAGGUUAAUAUUAAUAUAUUAAUAUAUUAUUAUACAUUAAUAUUGGUUAGGUGAAACUACUGAAUGAAUUAGUGUAUAUUCAAAAGGAUUGAGAACUCUUGUGGGAAAAUGUGCUUAAUGAAAAUGGAACUGAAAGGGAUCAAAUGAUAAUACAAUUCAUUUGUAUUAUUUAUUAUUUAUUUAUUUGGUGAUACAGGAACUAAUAUUAGAGCAUUACUGUGAAAAGCAUUAAAGCCCAAAAAUUUAGAUGAAAAACAGAGAAUCUCAUGAUGGGAUGAGUAUAAAAGAUAAAAAUAAAAAUAUUAAAUAUAAAAAUACCGGGCUAAGCACUUACUAUCCUUUUCCUGUAGUUUGGAUGAGAUUUCAGGUAAAGGAUAGCAGAUUAUUUUGUUCUAUUUCUAAGGAAAUCCCAGAAUACCAUAAUGUUAUGACUAUAUCAGCACCUAAUCACAAAAUGUAAAUUAAUAUUAGUGGCAUGCUAGAUGUCAAAAAGGUUUUGACCAUUGACAGAAGCUUAUGGACUGUUUAUUACUUUACAGGAAGACAAGGCUUAUUUAAAUAUGCCUUUAGAUAGUUAUUUUAGAAGAUUGGACAUUAAUUAAGGAAUUAAUGGUAUGUUGGCUUAAGAAGUCUAUUCGUAUGAGCCCAUAUAUAUGGAUAAUAGAGAGAAUCAUGCUAAAGAAGAUAAAGGGAAAUGAAGGACUCUGUACCCAUUGUAUUGGACAGUAGCUAGACCACAAUAUAUUAAAUUACAUGCAGGAUACAGACAAUGGAUAAUUUAUACUGUAUGUUAUUUUACUAGUAGGAGCUUUCAUUGGGAUUUUGAUUUUGUGAGAACUAAAGGGCCUUGGAGGACUGAUAAGAAGUUUAUUAAAAAUCUGUUAUUCUACAGUCGUUAAUAUUAUCUUGCAGGUGGUUGGGCUUAGUAGGAGUAGAGAUAAAGAGGACAAACAAGUGCUCAUUGAAAGAGGGAUUCAUCGAAAGACCUUGACCGAACGUAGCACUCCUUUGGUGCAUAAGGUCUGAGACUUUACUUCUGAAAUACAUGGCAUUUCAACAGAGUGCCACGAAGGGUGAACAGUUGAGUGAUAUACCAAGGAUAACUCUAAGAAUGAUUCUACCAGCAUUGCUAUUUUGUUAGGAAACGGUGACAACCUUUUGGAAAUUCUGGUAAACAACUGUCUUUGUAUUACAGUGAAUAUGAUAUUAUAAAAAUAAUAAUAUAAAUUAAAAUAAAAAAGGGGGGUUACAUACAUAUGUUUUUAAGUUUUUAUUUUCUAUAUUUAUUAUUUUUGAACUUCAUUUAAGUGGGUUAUUGGUUCUGAAAAUGUAUGCAUGAUUCAUUAUGGAAACCUAAUAUGAUAGGUAAAUGAGUAAAUUAAGAACAAAUACAAAGGACCAAAAUUUGAUUAAAAAAGAAAAAAAAAAUUCUUUUAAGGCUCAAAUAGGAAUUAAGGAGAGCCCCAAGUGGAGAAUUAUUGACAAGAAAAUUUAAUUACUGGAUUGUUAUUGGGCAAGAUAAUUGUAUGAGAUGCCGUCAAUUUCUGACUGAUUUAAGAGUGAACUUUGUAAUGGGGGAUUUAUGCUAGGAAUGUUUCUACAAGAAUACAUUCAUUAUGUGGAUUAAUGACUAUGAUGAUGCAGAAUAUAAUGUUGAAUCUUAUGAAUUGAUGACUGGAGUGCAGAUAUACAUUUUGGAAAACAAUAAAAAUUAACUUACAAUCUUUUUAAACUUAAAGACUGGUACAGAUUGGAGAUCUGGGGAUUAGAUUCUUGUGCACUGCUUGCAUAAUAAAUGUACAGCUGAAGUUGUAAAAGUGGUCAAAAUUGAUGAACUGCUUUUUAUUAUAGGCAGAGAAAUUUAUGGAAUUCCUGGAGAAGGAGGAUUUAACUCUGACUCAGCCCGCCUUAACGCCCCAAGGUGCUAAGAAUCAAACAAGCGGCUCGCACACCAGAAGGUAUGCCUGGAAUGCCAGAUCCCCUCUCUUGGCUUCUGAAGAGGAUUUCAGAGAGAGGGGAAGAGCCGUGCGUUUCUGAGUGAGGACCCCUGGGGGCGUCAGAUUGAGGCUUGUGUACAUGAAAUUACGAACGGACGAUUGUUGAGAGCAAGAUUUGGACACUAUCUUAGCACUGUCAAGCAGAGCACAAAGAUUUGGUCACCUGAUACUACUGUAUCUGGAAAUUAGAGGAAAAAAAAAAAAAGAAAAAAAAAGGUGCAAGGGGAAAGAAAGAAUGCUCGAGUUUGGGUUGAAAACUAUAUGAAUGUGUUUCAUACCAGUUUACUGAUGCAUGAUAGCACUGUGUAUAUGAUUCUUGCAAAAUAUAACAAGUUUAAAAAACAUGAUGAACAGUACUUUAGCUUGAAGAUGUUAGGAUGAAAUCAGCCAGCAAAAUUGCAAAGCAGUGGGUGUUAAUGGAGAUGAUGAUUUUGCAAUUAUACUGUCUUGAUUAAUGCUUAAUUUGCUAUAAACAGAUGUACUGUAACCUAAGUAGUAAUAAUGCUUUUGCUUAAGUACAAAGAUGUUACCCUGUGAUUAAUGCUAUAUGGAAAAUGUAUUGUGUAAUUUCACUUACAUUAAGAAAACUGCUUACUUGCAUGAAAUGUAUGUAGUGACUGAUUUAGAGUAGAAACACUUAUGUAUUAGAAAUAGUUUUUAUGAUAAAUGGACAAUAUAGUAUUUAAGGUGUAUUUCACCGACUGUUAAAGAGGAAAAGGGCUAAAGCAAUGCGACAUAAACAACUGAAAGCCUCGGCAGAGGAGUUGGCAGCACUCCAGGUGAUGACAUCAGAAGAACCAGCGUUCGACGUCUGGGUAUAAAAGACUGAGAGAGAGACUCGACCGACGGAUACUGAACAAGCACAGUAUCCCUCGACGCCUGAUACCAGCUGAUUAUACCUUGAUUUUGUAACUUUACUAUUGUACUUUGAUAUAACUUUUGUUAAUUUUAAUAAAACUUGUAUUUUAUUAUUGACAAGU